AUUGAACGCUGGCGGCAUGCCUUACACAUGCAAGUCGAACGGCAGCGGGCCGUUCGUGGUGCCGGCGCGUGGCGGACGGGUGCGUAAUGCAACGGACCGUACACGGGCGAGGGGGAUAACCGGCCGUAAGGCAGGCUAUUACCGCAUCAACUCAGAAGAGCAAAGCGGGGGACCUUCGGGUCUCGCGCUCUCGGAGCGGCCGAUGUCCGAAUAGGCUUGUUGGUUGGGUAAAGGCCCACCAAGCCGACGAUCGGUAGCUGGUCUGAGAGGAGGAUCUGCCACACUGGGACUGAGACACGGCCCAGACUCCUACGGGAGGCAGCAGUGGGGAAUAUUGGACAAUGGGCGCAAGCCUGAUGCAGCAAUGCCGCGUGGAUGAAGAAGGCCUUCGGGUUGUAAAGCCCUUUCAGCGGGGAAGAAAAGGGUUAAGGUAAUAGUUUGGCCCGUUGACGUUACCCGCAGAAGAAGCACCGGCUAACUACGUG
Molecule: ribosomal RNA, 485 nt
Filed under: uncultured bacterium
Lineage: Bacteria
Description: partial 16S ribosomal RNA
Rfam family: Bacterial small subunit ribosomal RNA
Source: RNAcentral